This is a long non-coding RNA of Onychostoma macrolepis, 677 nucleotides long. RefSeq lists it as uncharacterized. Lineage: Eukaryota; Metazoa; Chordata; Actinopteri; Cypriniformes; Cyprinidae. The record is from RefSeq and is a predicted model, not a curated record. The transcript has 3 exons.
GGGAAUUUGAACAGAAUCACUGUUUUGCGGCUGAUCACUGAGUCGGCAGCGAUUCACUGAACGAGCCGUAUAACCUCAACUCUACACUAGAUAUUAAAAUCCAAAAUAUAGUGAAAACACUAGGGGUGAUCCCGAAUAGUCGACGAUUCGAUGCUUCGAUUCGAGGAUCCUGAUUCGACUCCCAAUCUCACAGUCGAAUAAAUGAAUUAAAUCCUAUUGAUUAAAAACCUGCUAUCAAAUGUUUCAUUCUACAGAAAUGCAGAAUAUUAAUAACUGUCAUAUACAUAACGUUAUAAUGAGAGCACUAUUGUAAAAAAAUGAUGUGAAUUCUUAGGGUUUCGCCGACGUUUAAUGUUACCUGUCUUUUAAUAAAAACAUAACACAUUAUUCACUCCGUUUGUAUUUGCCAGGCGUCCGUUAACGUUACACAUCUUCCCUGUGUGUUAACGUCAGUAAUUGGGCCUAAAAUAAAGGACAAUAAUGGCAUCAGUGAUGGCAGAUCUACUACUAUCUGAAAAGUAGUCUCUGCAGAUUGUUUCAAGAUACACAAGAUGGAGCGUGGAGAGACAGGACAUGGACCACAGUUUUUCAGCACCCACACCCCACACUCAAAUUCAUAUAGAAGUUCUCAAUUAUUAAAUGUUAAUAUGAUAGUUUAUAUUUAGCUGUGAAGUUAU